Long non-coding RNA from Homo sapiens (human), 1175 nucleotides. Ensembl annotates it as long intergenic non-protein coding RNA 1644. NCBI's taxonomy places the organism in Eukaryota, Metazoa, Chordata, Mammalia, Primates, Hominidae. The record is from Ensembl.
CCUUUGGUUAUUCAUGUAGCCACCUUAUCCUGCACAGGUCUGUGGCAGGCCGUGAGACGGUGACCAGAGAAGCAGUCAGCACUCACGGCCCCUGCCCUUUCAGAGUUUACGCUUGCUUGGAAGCCUCCAGAAUGGGGAUAAGCACAAGACAUUUAUGCUGGGCUUCAUCCAGGAAGCUCUGGUGGAAGGAAGAGAAAGCAGCCCACACAGCAAGGUUCAGGAGAAGAUUCCCAUGAAGGACAACUGGGGUUCAGCCCCAUCCAGCAGAUGACACGGAGCCGGCCUCGGAGGUGUCCUCACCGUGGGACACUGGCAUCUGAGCUACCUCAGGGCGUAGCCGGCCGAUGUUCCCAGCCUCCCCCUGGGCACAGCCAGCCCAGGCCAAGUGGUCUAGCGAACACUCUGUGUGGCUUCCCUCAUAAAUGCCCCCCAGGACUCAGAAUUCUCACCCCAAAGGAUUUGAGACCGAGUCUGCAAGACACGGAUCGUCCAGAUGAGUGUUUUCCUCUUUUCUCCGCGGCACUGAGGGGCUGAGAAGCAUCUGGAGAUCUCAUGCAACUCUCAAUUUCCCACCACAGCCCCGGCCCCCACUCAGCAUGGCCCAAAAAAGGAGCAAAAAGCAGAAAGCUCAAGGACCCUCAGAAUCAAGUUUUGCAGAAAGACACAAAGCUCAAGAACAGAGGUGCAACUAAGGGAACACACCCUGUAAGACUGCCUCCCAGACACACCACUGCAGCCAGUGAAUUGCACUGUUUAGACUUUGACUUCAGGGUCAGGGUGAGCUGAUGAGACUGGCCCCUUGAUGAAGUAAGAGGCCACCAAGGAGUGAGAGCGGCUGAGUUUGAGCCCUGCCUCUGCCGUCUGCAACUCUCUCAUCUUGAGCAGGUCCAGCCCCAGUGUGGGCCUCAGAUCUCCCAUCCUUGAGAUGAGAGAAUUCAAAUCCAGCUCCACCUCUGCAGCCCACGCCCUUCCCCUGCACUGCAUGGCAUCCGAUAGGCUUGAAGAAGGCGUGAAUGACAUUCAAAGGGCCACAUCAUCUAAGUCGCACUCCUCUCCCAUCCCAUCCCUUGUUGUCCUUUACAUGAUUCCCAUUCAUCUUUCUUCUCUUGGGCCCAGGGGUGUGCUGGUGAAUGUUUAACAGCCACUCCAUGAAAAAAUAAAACGGUCUUGAUUGA